This 523-nucleotide ribosomal RNA is filed under the name uncultured bacterium. RNAcentral describes it as "bacterial SSU rRNA". It matches the Rfam family "Bacterial small subunit ribosomal RNA", at positions 21 to 518 of the family's 1533-position model. The record is from RNAcentral.
GGCUCAGAACGAACGCUGGCGGCGUGCCUAACACAUGCAAGUCGAACGGGAGUCAAGGGGCUUGCUCCUGGUUUAGUGGCGCACGGGUGAGUAACGCGUGGAUAAUCUGCCCUGGUGUCCGGGAUAACAUUUCGAAAGGGGUGCUAAUACCGGAUAAGCCCACGAGGUCUUCGGACCACGGGGGAAAAGGUGGCCUCUAUUUAUAAGCUACUGUAUCAGGAUGAGUCCGCGUACCAUUAGCUAGUUGGCGGGGUAAAGGCCCACCAAGGCGACGAUGGUUAGCUGGUCUGAGAGGAUGAUCAGCCACACUGGAACUGAGACACGGUCCAGACUCCUACGGGAGGCAGCAGUGGGGAAUUUUGCGCAAUGGGGGAAACCCUGACGCAGCAACGCCGCGUGAGUGAAUGAAGGCCUUCGGGUCGUAAAGCUCUGUCAGAGGGAAAGAAGUGUAUUGCGGCUAAUACCCGUGAUACUUGACGGUACCCUCAAAGGAAGCACCGGCUAACUCCGUGCCAGCCGCGGC